GGAGAUGUGGCCGAGUGGCUGAAGGCGGCGGUUUGCUAAACCGUUAAGGGUCUUAAAAGCCCUUCACAGGUUCGAAUCCUGUCAUCUCCGCCA
This 93-nucleotide transfer RNA is filed under the name Acidobacteriota bacterium. Its description in RNAcentral is "tRNA-Ser". It matches the Rfam family "tRNA". From Rfam's summary of the family: Transfer RNA (tRNA) molecules are approximately 80 nucleotides in length. Their secondary structure includes four short double-helical elements and three loops (D, anti-codon, and T loops). RNAcentral also lists the same sequence under 3 other names. The record is from RNAcentral. Lineage: Bacteria; Pseudomonadati; Acidobacteriota.